GGGUUCAUCUCAUUUGGCAAUUUGAAAGUAAAUAAAUUGUCAUCAAAAGAGAAAUUACAUGUAAAAUCCUUAAUCUUAUUCGUAAAUGGUAUCAUAAUAAGUUCAUAUUUAACCAAACAAAACCUGAUUAGUGCUUGUGAAAAUCUGGAUCCUUAACAACAGUCACUGGGCAGGUCGCAACAGACAAUACAUAAUUGGUCACACUUCCCAAGAAUAUCCUUUGGAGAGUACUGAGUCCUCUGCUACCCAUAACCAAAGAAUUCAACUUCAGAUGUUCAACAGCUUCACAUAAUUUCUCCCUAGCAUCUCCCCAAUAUAAUUUAAUAACAAUUUUUAUCUCUUUUUGCCUAGUAGCAGUAUCAAGCAAAUCAAGAAGUUCAAUAUCAGUCUCCACAUCAUAUUUCUUCAACACCUCAGCCUCCCUAAACUCCACCAAUGGAAUUAAAGGAGAACCAGAUUGAGCCCAGAGUUUAUUACGAGAUUCAUCAGAGGAAUGAGUCUUGAUGUGGAUGAUGUAAAAAGUGUCACCUUUAUCAGCCAAGUUAUCAAUUGCCCAUUUCAAAGCUGUUUUGCUGCUCUUUGAAAAAUCUACAGCCACACCAAUGGUUCUGUCUUUUACCAUUUUUGCUUUUUGAUUCUUCUUCUACUCUGUUUUUCUAGUAAAAAGAGAUACAGAGCAACUUAUUCUGUGUGA
RNAcentral lists this unclassified non-coding RNA (694 nucleotides) under Hevea brasiliensis (rubber tree). The record is from RNAcentral. Lineage: Eukaryota; Viridiplantae; Streptophyta; Magnoliopsida; Malpighiales; Euphorbiaceae.